GAUGAACGCUGGCGGCGUGCUUAACACAUGCAAGUCGAGCGAGUGAGUUCUUUGGAACGAUCUAGCGGCGGACGGGUGAGUAACACGUGGGCAACCUGCCUCAUAGAGGGGAAUAGCCUCCCGAAAGGGAGAUUAAUACCGCAUAAAAUUAUCGAGUGGCAUCACAUGAUAAUCAAAGGAGCAAUCCGCUAUGAGAUGGGCCCGCGGCGCAUUAGCUAGUUGGUGAGGUAACGGCUCACCAAGGCGACGAUGCGUAGCCGACCUGAGAGGGUGAUCGGCCACAUUGGGACUGAGACACGGCCCAGACUCCUACGGGAGGCAGCAGUGGGGAAUAUUGCACAAUGGGGGAAACCCUGAUGCAGCAACGCCGCGUGAGUGAUGAAGGUCUUCGGAUUGUAAAGCUCUGUCUUUGGGGACGAUAAUGACGGUACCCAAGGAGGAAGCCACGGCUAACUACGUGCCAGCAGCCGCCGCCG
Molecule: ribosomal RNA, 476 nt
Filed under: uncultured bacterium
Lineage: Bacteria
Description: partial 16S ribosomal RNA
Rfam family: Bacterial small subunit ribosomal RNA
Source: RNAcentral